Molecule: long non-coding RNA, 603 nt
Organism: Bos taurus (domestic cattle)
Lineage: Eukaryota; Metazoa; Chordata; Mammalia; Artiodactyla; Bovidae
Source: Ensembl
GCCUUACUUUUUCCUGUCUCUUCUCCUCUCUGGGGCAGCCCCCCAGCCCCGGGGCCGGCGCGCCGGGCCCCCCACCCUGCCCUCAGCGCCCUACGACCACAGCCGGCGGCCGGCAUUCCGGGGCGGCGGGUCCGCAACUUCGCGCCCGGGCGCCAGCGCCUCGCAGCCCGGCGGGCGGGAGACAAAAGCUGCGGCGCCGCCGGAGGCCGCGCGGCCAAGCAAGCAAUCGGUGUGCAGGAACACCCCUGUGCCGUGAUGCCGGCUGGGCACCAGGAAUAUCAAGGGAGAAGAUUCAGAUGAGACAGUCGUGUUAAAAAAAUAGAACUCCAACUGUGUGAGAAGUGCUAUAACAAGGCCAACCCCACAGGCUGCCCACAUUUUACUUCUAGUCACAGUCUGUUGCAACCUACCCUGCAUGCUAAAGACAACCCUGAAAUAAAGAGCAUCGUGAUGCCUUUCUGAACCAAAGGGGAUUCACAGAACCCACCUGAGAAGGCUGUCGUGAACAUGAAGUGAGACUAGAUGCGUGCAGAACAGCUACAGAAAAAUACACGAGACAAGGCGCAGACCCGUCUGAGAAGGAACAUCCAGCCGCUGGACACG